RNAcentral lists this unclassified non-coding RNA (227 nucleotides) under uncultured fungus. RNAcentral's name for it is "sequence contains ITS1, 5.8S rRNA gene". The stretch from base 179 to 227 matches the Rfam family "5.8S ribosomal RNA", at positions 1 to 49 of the family's 154-position model. The record is from RNAcentral. Lineage: Eukaryota; Fungi.
UCUCCGUAGGUGAACCUGCGGAGGGAUCAUUACUGAGUGAGGGUUUAACCGCCCGACCUCCAACCCUUUGUGAAUCGUACUCGUUGCUUCGGGGGCGACCCUGCCGUUCGCGGCGUGGGGCCCCCGGAGGUCUUCUAAACACUGCAUCUUUGCGUCGGAGUUUAAACAAAUUAAACAAAACUUUCAACAACGGAUCUCUUGGUUCUGGCAUCGAUGAAGAACGCAGC